AGAGAGCAUCAGAUGCUGAGGAGGGGCCCCUUGUUAAAGGCCAUACCAUUGGCUGCUCCUGCAAGCUGAGGGCAUGGAGGAGGGAAGGAAGGAGGAGACAGCCCCUCAGAACUUGGAGGGGAGAGUAGGCUUUCCUCAUCUUCUCUUCUCCUUCUCCAUGGUACUCCUGGGCUCUUCUUUUUCUCCUCCCUCAUCAUCAAUCACCCUUCCUCCUUUUCUUCAACCCCUCUUGGAAAGACUGGUGGAUGACUUUCAACUCCAGGAUUGAAGAGCAGCACACUCAGAUCUUCUUACACCAUCUCUGGGGGCCGACUGGCAGAGAAGGCUAGGGACUUGGCCAAUAUCAUGCAGCCUUCAUGCCUUAUUCGGGAAAGGUGCUCCAAAUAGGAGGAAUAUUUGGAAGAAAUCCCAAUAGGGAUUUGGAGACAUGCCAUUUGGGAAUGCAAACCCAGCCCCUCCUAGUGCUCCACCCUGCCCAUGUCCCCAUUGAACCGACAACCUGCAGAGAGAGCAGGAUGCCCACAGCAAGCCCCAAGGACAAAGGCCACAGAGUCAGGGCACCCAAAUCCUAACCUAACCUUGCCUGUGCUUCCUGUGUACUGUGGCCAUUUUACUUUCCCCCUGUUCCCUCCUCUGUAAAUGAGGCCCUUGGACUGCAUCAGUGGUUUUUACACUGAGCUCCCUGGAGCUCUGGGGGCCUCAGGGACUAUUGUGGAGGCCUUGCUGCAUUUGAGAGUGGUGUCUUGUACCCUACUCAACCCAUUUUUUCUGUUUUACAUAUUGGGCCUCUGUGGAAGAUAUUGCUUGAAGAAAAGGUUUUGUGGUCUAAAAAGUUUUAAAAAUCACUGGAUUGGGUGAUUUUUUCAUCUAUUUUCUGAUUGAGAAGUUUCAUGGCUUUUAUAGGAGAAGCAAGGUGACAGCAGCCACCCCAAGCUUGAAUUAUAGAGGUAGCAGGAAGGACAUUGUAGGCCAAGAGCCCUGUACAAACAGGCACAUGUUGUGGUUAUGGAGUGGAGAAAUCAGGUGUGUGCAUGUUAUGUGACCCUGCUUCAUAGAAUCAUGGAUGUGCAUCACAAUGGCCUCAGAGGUCACUGAGGGUGGCCAGAUGUCUGGGUGGAAGGGUCUCAUCCUGUUUUCCAGCUCCAUUCCAGGCAGCAUCCUCACGAUCCAAAGAACGGCAUAAGGGGCCCCUGUUUCCUGAGACCCAGUCAGAGCUCCUAUACUCUCCCACCUUGUUCCUCUGAGCUGACAAAUGACAUCGGAGAGGGCUCUAGGUUGGAAGGAAGACAAGGCAUUGCACUCACGUGAGGAGGAUUCAGUCUUGGUCCCUAGGGCGAUGGUGAUGAGGAGGAAGAAGGGAAUGGCAGCCACGGAGAUCUUCAUGCUGUGGGAAGCUGUUGUGGGAGGAGAGCUGGCCUGGUGGGAGCUUCAGAGGCUCCUGCGGUGAGGAAUUGUUGAGAAAUGAUCAUUGAGGCCAAAUAUUUUUUAAAAUAAGGGAGCUGAGACUUGGAAGGGAAGUAGGAAAGCAGUGAUGCCUCAGCAAUUUCAUAUCCUGCACAUGUGUUGUUGGUGGCCUGAAGGAAGCAGGGAGAGCCAAGGUUUAAGGGAGGAAAUGGUCUUCCAUCCCCAGUGGGAAGAAGUUCAACUCUUUUGAUAGAAGCCUUUCCCUAGGCAUGAACAUGAGCACAGGGCUGGGGGCACUGUGUCACACUUAGCAAAAGAUCUCAAGGCUGGAUGUGUCCUGUAUCCAAUUCCAUCUCAGGCCUUAGAACAGGCCACGUGGGGCCUGGACAUUCAGGAUCUGUUCAUCUAGAGACUAGAGGGUGUUUGGGGUAAUGGAAUGAGGCCAGGACUCCUCCAAGUCAGGUCUCAUUGGUCAAGGGAAAUCCUAACUUAAACUCGAAGCAGAACCUGCAGUUCUCUGUCUCAUCUCCAUUCUGGUCACCACACCAUGGAGUGAAGAAGUGCUGUGGUGCUCAGUAGAUAAUUCACUUAUAUAAUGGUUGCUAUACACACAAGCCACUGUCCCAGUUGCCUUAUGAAUAUUAGCCUAUUUAAUCUUUAGAACAGCAGUUGAGGAAACAGGCUCAGAAUCAAAGCCUAAGCUUUUGACAGUUGGUAAAUGGAACUGGGGUUCAAAUUCAGGUGGUUUGGCUUCCAAGUCUGUGUUCUCACCCAUUAUGCCAUAAAGAAACAUGGGACUCCCAACGGAGCUCUGUAAAAGCUUAUGGGUUUUCUAUAAAGCCUUUAGUCUUAGUCCUUUCUGAAAUCAGAUAGUGGAUCUCUUUGGGACCUUCUCCUGGUUUCUCUGACUUUUGCUGCAAAGAAGCUUGGUGGGAACCCUAGAAAAUGUCUAAUUCAGGGAUAGCUAGUAGGUUUCAUUGAUUAGUGGUGGACUGGAGCUCUGUGUUGGAAAUGAUUCUGAGGCCAUAUCCAGGCACAUUGGGAAGAUACGCUGUGACCAACGUGCAGUUUCUGUUGCAGUGCAGCUUGCAUGCUAUGUAUCUGCCAUUUGAUUUGUCUAAACUGGCCAUUUACUGAAUGGAAGCUGGGAAUCAGAAAGGACCAGUGACUUUCUCAUGUGCACACAGUGAUUUGGAUGCAGGACAGAUCUCAUCUCCGCAGGCUCUCAGCUUAGUGCCCUCACCAUGCUGUUCUUGGAGGUACAUCCCCCAUUCUGCUUGCUGAUGUGGUUAGAUGGUUAUUUAAUCUCCUCUCCUCAUCUGAAUCAUCAGGAUGGAGAACAUCUAUUAUUUAUCUUUGCCCAUUCACGCAGAACCUAGUGUAUACCAGGUGCUUUAUGAAUAUACAUUUUAAAAGAAGGAUGAAUAAACAAAUUGAGCCAGGUCUACAUAUGUGUAUCUUAUAGGAAAUGGCUGAAAUCUCAUGGUUAGUUGUGGAGACAGUCAUCAAUUAAAAAUUUUCUAUAUUUCUUAUCAUCAAUAACAACAUUAUGUAAACCCUUCAAGUUAAAUGAUAAUAAUUGUUAUCAGGAACAAUCUCAGGAAACAAGUUGUUUAUAGGAAAAGUGAGUUGGAAAGAAAUAAUGCUUACUUCUUGUUUUUGUGGAAACUAGCCAACCUGCCAAGUUGUUUCUAGGAGACUUACAGGAAGUUCCUGUACUUUUCCAGCAAGUAUUGAGUUCCUACCUACAUUAGUCUGUGUGUGCCAACUGCUAUCAUAAACAAUCCAGCAGACUAAUUAAAUAAAAGUUUAUUUCUUGCUCAUGUUACAGUCCAGUGUGGGUCAGUAGUGGGAUGAUGGUGUGUGUGUUGGGAUCCUCCAUGUACUCAUUCAGGAACCAGGCCUUUUUCUACCUUGGAUGCCACCAUUUUCAGCACAAGGCCUCCAAGCUUGAUACAAAAAGGGAGAAGCAGAGGAGGAUUGGGAGAUUUUUGUGGAUCAGUUCUGAAAAUGGUACAAAUUACUUUCACCCACAUUCCAUGGCCAGCAUCAAGUAACCUGGCUCCAACAUAAUGACAAAGGGAUGGAAAAUAUACAUCAUCUGUAUGCUUAGGAAGAAAAAGGAAUAGGUUUUGUGACCACAUCACUUCUUUGACACAGUAUCAUAUGCCAAGUCCUGGGCUAGGCUUGGAGGGAGGGAUUGAAGAUGACCCUGAUCCCAGAGGUCUCAGAACUCAAAGAGGGACUAAAAAAAGUAAAGGAGAAUUGCAAUACAACCAGAUGAAUGAAAUUUGAUGGCAACAUAAUUAGAGACCUUAAAUGUCCUCCUGUUGCCCCCUGUUGAGUAUGAAGAGCCUAUUUUAAAAAUAUUUAAAAUGUUUUUCAAAGCAACACAUACAUAUAUUGGUUUAAAAAACUGAAUAGUACAGGAAGGAUCUGUAGGACAUAAACCUUCUGAGUUCAUGCUUGCCUGAAGAAGUCAUUAUUUAGCCUUCAUACUUGAUUGAUAUUUUUGUUGGGUAUAGAAUUCUACAAUGGAAUAUAAGAAUAUGUUUCUUCUGAAACUCAUUUGUGGUGAUCUGGUGUUUCCCCUCUCUAGAAAAUUUUAGGGUUUAUUCUUUAAUCUUGUUUUCUUACUUUUUGGCACAAAUAGAUGUUCCAGACUCAUCUUGUACUUUCCUUGGCCCAGCUCUGGAAUUAGCCAUUUCUUCCAUGAGUCUCAGUUUCUUUUACUGAAAAAUGAUUUUGAGAAACCAAAAUCUGAGUGCUUGGUGUGUUCAUUGCUAUGGGAAUGGCAUCACUUUUAGAUCUGAGCUUUUAGUGGCUAGAACCUGGAAAUAUAUGUAAGCAUAUGUGUAUAAGUAUGUAUUUAAAUUUAUGUCUAUUUCAAGUAUAUCUAUUUCAUAUAUUAUUAGCAAUUUGUUUUUGUUUUUGUUUUUGUUUUUGAGAUGGAGUCUCACUCUGUCACCCAGGAGUGAGGUGGUGCAUUCUCAGCUCACUGAAACCUCUACCUCCGGGGUUCAAGUGAUCUUCCUGCCUCACCCUCUGGAGUAGCUGGGACUGCAGGUACAGGUCACCUUGCCCAGGUAAUUUUUGUAUUUUUAGAGAUGGGGUUUCACCAUGUUGGCCAGGCUGGUCUUGAACUUCUGACCUCAGGUGAUCCACCCGCCUUGGCCUCCCAAAGUGCUGGGAUUACAGGCGUGAGCCACUGCGCUCGUCCUAUUAUUAGCAAUUUCUAUGUCCUCUUUCUAGCUAUAUGAAAAAACAAAAGUUUAUACCACUAUGUCCAAUUCCAAGUAAACACCACAGAGUUAUUUCAGUCUUUCCUGUUUCUAUGUUUCCCUCCCUCCUCUAACAAUGGGGACUCCUGCUCCCAUUAACCUCAAUGUAUGUACUUAUUUGCUGAGUUCCCUGUAUGUAACAAAUCUCCUGGCCACACUGGCUGUAUUCUGGCCUCUGGUCCCACUGGCCUCAACCAUGUGCAUCAUCUUCUCUGCCCUGGCCCUGGUUGAGCCCUCAGUUGAGGGGAUGAGUUAUAUUACUUUUAAAUCUUGUCUCUGGUUCUAAAAAGAAUAAAAAUAUGAAUGUUUCUAUUUCCUA
RNAcentral lists this long non-coding RNA (5004 nucleotides) under Homo sapiens (human). RNAcentral's name for it is "HSALNT0389490". The record is from RNAcentral. Lineage: Eukaryota; Metazoa; Chordata; Mammalia; Primates; Hominidae.